This 253-nucleotide ribosomal RNA is filed under the name uncultured bacterium. RNAcentral describes it as "partial 16S ribosomal RNA". It matches the Rfam family "Bacterial small subunit ribosomal RNA", at positions 524 to 776 of the family's 1533-position model. The record is from RNAcentral.
UACGGAGGGUGCGAGCGUUUUCCGGAAUCACUGGGCGUAAAGGGCGCGUAGGCGGUCGCUUAAGUCACUUGUGAAAUCCCGGGGCUCAACUCCGGGGCUGCAGGUGAUACUGGGUGGCUAGAGCUCGGUAGAGGCGAGUGGAAUUCCCGGUGUAGCGGUGGAAUGCGUAGAUAUCGGGAAGAACACCAGUGGCGAAGGCGGCUCGCUGGGCCGAUGCUGACGCUGAGGCGCGAAAGCGUGGGGAGCAAACAGG